UGUGUUAUAUACAAUGGAUGGUUUCUAUUUCUGAUUACUUGCUGUAAUGGAAUAAAUAAUAAAGUUAAUUCUGAAUCAUCUGGAAUAAGUUCAGUAGUUUCAAUAUGUAAAACAAUUCUUUCUGCAUGUUGAGAGUCAGUAACUUAAGAGCUAUUAUUGAUUGUGA
Molecule: non-coding RNA, 166 nt
Organism: Peromyscus maniculatus bairdii (prairie deer mouse)
Lineage: Eukaryota; Metazoa; Chordata; Mammalia; Rodentia; Cricetidae
Source: RefSeq, a predicted model, not a curated record